CAUAGAGUGCCUGAAAAAGGACCAUUUUGAUAGAGUGGAUCACACAGCCCCCCCCUGUCUCUAUGA
This 66-nucleotide transfer RNA is filed under the name Trigonopterus jasminae. Its description in RNAcentral is "tRNA-Ile". The record is from RNAcentral. Lineage: Eukaryota; Metazoa; Arthropoda; Insecta; Coleoptera; Curculionidae.